This 513-nucleotide ribosomal RNA is filed under the name uncultured bacterium. RNAcentral's name for it is "partial 16S ribosomal RNA". It matches the Rfam family "Bacterial small subunit ribosomal RNA", at positions 28 to 523 of the family's 1533-position model. The record is from RNAcentral.
GAUGAACGCUGGCGGCGUGCCUAAUACAUGCAAGUCGAGCGAACAGAUAAGGAGCUUGCUCCUUUGAAGUUAGCGGCGGACGGGUGAGUAACACAUGGGUAACCUACCUAUAAGAUUGGGAUAACUUCGGGAAACCGGAGCUAAUACCGGAUAACAUUUAGAACCGCAUGGUUCUGAAGUGAAAGAUGGUUUUGCUAUCACUUAUAGAUGGACCCGCGCCGUAUUAGUUAGUUGGUAAGGUAACGGCUUACCAAGGCGACGAUACGUAGCCGACCUGAGAGGGUGAUCGGCCACACUGGAACUGAGACACGGUCCAGACUCCUACGGGAGGCAGCAGUAGGGAAUCUUCCGCAAUGGGCGAAAGCCUGACGGAGCAACGCCGCGUGAGGGAUGAAGGGUUUCGGCUCGUAAAACUCUGUUAUUAGGGAAGAACAAAUGCGUAAGUAACUGUGCACAUCUUGACGGUACCUAAUCAGAAAGCCACGGCUAACUACGUGCCAGCCGCCGCUGUAA